RNAcentral lists this ribosomal RNA (479 nucleotides) under uncultured Desulfobulbus sp. Its description in RNAcentral is "bacterial SSU rRNA". It matches the Rfam family "Bacterial small subunit ribosomal RNA", at positions 910 to 1382 of the family's 1533-position model. The record is from RNAcentral. Lineage: Bacteria; Pseudomonadati; Thermodesulfobacteriota; Desulfobulbia; Desulfobulbales; Desulfobulbaceae.
GUUGACGGGGCCCGGCACAAGCGGUGGAGUAUGUGGUUUAAUUCGAUGCAACGCGAAGAACCUUACCUGGUCUUGACAUCCCGGAGACCCUUAGGAAACUAGGGGGUGCUUCCAUCUGGAAGAAUCUGGAGACAGGUGCUGCAUGGCUGUCGUCAGCUCGUGUCGUGAGAUGUUGGGUUAAGUCCCGCAACGAGCGCAACCCUUGCCUUUAGUUGCCAGCAGUUCGGCUGGGCACUCUAAAGGGACUGCCGGUGUUAAACCGGAGGAAGGUGGGGAUGACGUCAAGUCCUCAUGGCCUUUAUGACCAGGGCUACACACGUACUACAAUGGCCGAUACAAAGGGCAGCGACACUGCGAGGUGAAGCCAAUCCCGUAAAAUCGGUCUCAGUCCGGAUUGGAGUCUGCAACUCGACUCCAUGAAGUUGGAAUCGCUAGUAAUCGUGGAUCAGCAUGCCACGGUGAAUACGUUCCCGGGCCUU